Molecule: long non-coding RNA, 882 nt
Filed under: Brassica napus (rape)
Lineage: Eukaryota; Viridiplantae; Streptophyta; Magnoliopsida; Brassicales; Brassicaceae
Description: long non-coding RNA (BNAP_LNC003478)
Source: RNAcentral
GUGUUGUUGUUUGCUGUGUCACUGAGACUUAUUGUUUAUUUGUCUUUUUAAUAUGUUUCUUGUACUGUUGAGAGUACAUAAAUUAUAUUAAAGUUGUUGAGAGUAUCUUUUGUUUCUGGAUAUUUUUUUCUUCAGUAUAGUUGUGUAAGUUGUGUGUAUUAAGAAAUAAUUUUUAUUAUCCUUACUAUGUUUGUUAUAUGUUUUUAUUUUAUUUUUAAACUUGUUGCUCUUACCUAAUCUUUAAAACAAAUACAUGAAGACUUGUAGAAAUAACUAUAAAAUGGUGACAAUUCUGAGUAUUUGGGAUUUAAUGAGUUUUAAACGAAUAUGUAUUUUUCAUAAGAAGACAAGAGCAUUGUCCUGUUGACAUUGGACAUAUAAGCUAUUUAUAUAAGACAAGAGGAGUAGGCAUGUGGAGCUGUUGUUGCCGCCUUUGUGUCUGUCGGGAUUGUCUCUUGUAUCUUAAGUUGUGGCUGUGUUUGUUUAUCUUUUAUUUGAUGGAUAAUAUGUAAACAAAAAUCAUUGUUAGUUGUAUUUAUCAGAGUUCAUAAUUUACUCUGUUUUUUUUUGUUUAGGUAAUUUCACUGAUCUUGGUUAUCUUCUUCGUCUUCUUCGUUGCAAAAGUAAGUUUGUAAAUUGUUAAAUAGCUGGCCGUGUAGUUUGUAUUUGUUUAGCUGACUCGAUGUAUGUGUUGUUGCGAAAGUAAGUAUGUAAAUUGUUAAAUAGUUGGCCGUGUAGUUUGUAUUUGUUUAGCUGACUCGAUGUAUGUGUCGUUGAGUUUUAGUUGAGGUGAUUGUUUGGUAUAUUUGUUUUGAAGUUUAUUUCUAAGAUUGGACAAAAAAGAGAAGUGAUCAUUAAUUAUUCGUCUUUUUUAAAAUUCUA